Molecule: ribosomal RNA, 253 nt
Filed under: uncultured bacterium
Lineage: Bacteria
Description: partial 16S ribosomal RNA
Rfam family: Bacterial small subunit ribosomal RNA
Source: RNAcentral
UACGUAGGGGGCAAGCGUUGUCCGGAUUUAUUGGGCGUAAAGAGCGUGUAGGCGGCCAGGGAGGUCCGUUGUGAAAACUCGAGGCUCAACCUCGAGACGUCGGCGGAAACCCUCUGGCUAGAGUCCGGAAGAGGAGAGUGGAAUUCCUGGUGUAGCGGUGAAAUGCGCAGAUAUCAGGAGGAACACCGGUGGCGAAGGCGGGUCUCUGGGCCGAUACUGACACUGAGGAGCGAAAGCGUGGGGAGCGAACAGG